This 337-nucleotide unclassified non-coding RNA is filed under the name soil metagenome. RNAcentral's name for it is "partial contains 5.8S ribosomal RNA, internal transcribed spacer 2, and large subunit ribosomal RNA". The stretch from base 1 to 120 matches the Rfam family "5.8S ribosomal RNA", at positions 35 to 154 of the family's 154-position model. The record is from RNAcentral.
GAUGAAGAACGUAGCGAAAUGCGAUAAGUAAUGUGAAUUGCAGAAUUCAGUGAAUCAUCGAAUCUUUGAACGCACAUUGCGCCCGCCAGUAUUCUGGCGGGCAUGCCUGUUCGAGCGUCAUUUCAACCAUCAAGCCCCCGGGCUUGUGUUGGGGACCUGCGGCUGCCGCAGGCCCUGAAAAGCAGUGGCGGGCUCGCUGUCACACCGAGCGUAGUAGAUUUUAUCUCGCUCAGGGCGUGCUGCGGGUUCCGGCCGUUAAAAAGCCUUUUUUACCCAAGGUUGACCUCGGAUCAGGUAGGAAGACCCGCUGAACUUAAGCAUAUCAAUAAGCGGAGGA